UACGGGGGGGGCAAGCGUUGUUCGGAAUUACUGGGCGUAAAGCGCGCGCAGGCGGCCUCCCGCGCCCGACGUGAAAGCCCCCGGCUUAACCGGGGAGGGUCGUUGGGGACGGCGGGGCUUGAGGGCGGGAGAGGUCGGUGGAAUUCCCGGUGUAGUGGUGAAAUGCGUAGAGAUCGGGAGGAACACCUGUGGCGAAGGCGGCCGACUGGGCCGACCCUGACGCUGAGGCGCGAAGGCGUGGGGAGCGAACGGG
Molecule: ribosomal RNA, 253 nt
Filed under: uncultured bacterium
Lineage: Bacteria
Description: partial 16S ribosomal RNA
Rfam family: Bacterial small subunit ribosomal RNA
Source: RNAcentral